CCUACGGGUGGCAGCAGUGAGGAAUAUUGGUCAAUGGGCGGAAGCCUGAACCAGCCAAGUAGCGUGCAGGAUGACGGCCCUACGGGUUGUAAACUGCUUUUAUACGGGAAUAACGCGCCUUACGUGUAGGGCUUUGCAUGUACCGUAUGAUUAAGGACCGGCUAAUUCCGUGCCAGCAGCCGCGGUAAUACGGAGGGUCCGGGCGUUAUCCGGAUUUAUUGGGUUUAACGGGAGCGUAGACGGCAUGUCAAGCGUGCUGUGAAAUGUCCGGGCUCAACCCGGGACUUGCAGCGCGAACUGGAGUGCUUGAGUGCGCGGAAGGCAGGCGGAAUUCGUCGUGUAGCGGUGAAAUGCUUAGAUAUGACGAAGAACCCCGAUUGCGAAGGCAGCUUGCUGCAGCGGAACUGACGCUGAUGCUCGAAAGCGUGGGUAUCGAACAGGAUUAGAUACCCGUGUAGUC
Molecule: ribosomal RNA, 460 nt
Filed under: uncultured bacterium
Lineage: Bacteria
Description: partial 16S ribosomal RNA
Rfam family: Bacterial small subunit ribosomal RNA
Source: RNAcentral